CCGGUAUACAUGCGUGAGGAGGACCCACAGUUCUUCAAGACUUGUAAUGUGGAGGAGUCAGAUGAGCCAUGCAUCGACACUCCUGUUGCUCUUGUCACAGUCACAGAGGACACUGCAGAUCCAGUUCAUUUCAGUCCUGCAAGUAUUUCUAUUGUUGUGGAAGACGAUGUUGUGAUGAGUGAUAUCCCUAACUUGGCUGAUGCAUUUGCAUUGUUGUUUGGGUUAAUGUAUGCAUUGCAUUUGAACUAUCCCAAACUCAUUCACACUUUCACAUUCAUCCAGAAAAUCCUAAUGGGUCUUGAUGAUGGUAAACCACUUAAACCCUGCCUACUGAGUC
Long non-coding RNA from Micropterus salmoides (largemouth bass), 337 nucleotides. RefSeq lists it as uncharacterized. NCBI's taxonomy places the organism in Eukaryota, Metazoa, Chordata, Actinopteri, Centrarchiformes, Centrarchidae. The record is from RefSeq and is a predicted model, not a curated record. The transcript is spliced from 2 exons.